AUUGAACGCUAGCGGGAUGCUUUACACAUGCAAGUCGAACGAGUGGCGGACGGGUGAGUAAUAUAUCGGAACGUGCCCAGUAGCGGGGGAUAACUACUAGAAAGAGUGGCUAAUACCGCAUACCAUGGGAGCGGCCGAAAUCGGAUUAGCUAGUUGGUGUGGUAAAGGCUCACCAAGGCAACGAUCCGUAGCUGGUUUGAGAGGACGACCAGCCACACUGGAACUGAGACACGGCCCAGACUCCUACGUGAGGCAGCAGUGGGGAAUUUUGGACAAUGGGCGAAACCCUGAUCCAGCCAUCCCGCGUGUAUGAGAAGGCCUUCGGGUUGUAAAGUACUUUUGGCAGGGAAGCGGUAUCUGCAGAAUAAGCACCGGCUAACUACGUGCCAGCAGCCGCGGUAAUAC
This 405-nucleotide ribosomal RNA is filed under the name uncultured bacterium. RNAcentral describes it as "partial 16S ribosomal RNA". It matches the Rfam family "Bacterial small subunit ribosomal RNA", at positions 30 to 526 of the family's 1533-position model. The record is from RNAcentral.